Molecule: long non-coding RNA, 1401 nt
Filed under: Equus caballus (horse)
Lineage: Eukaryota; Metazoa; Chordata; Mammalia; Perissodactyla; Equidae
Description: lncRNA (ENSECAG00000048747.1)
Source: RNAcentral
CCCCGGAGGACUUGCUAGCAGCUUCCAUUCUGAUGCUUGUGGUGUCCCCUCAACGUGUCCCACAGAGCGGCUGGCUGGCAGCAGGAGUGCCAGAGGGGCCCACCGCAAGCCCCAGCCUGCUCCCGGACAUCCUCUCCCUCCUGCCUCCCACCUUCUGCGUCAGCGCCCAGGAAGGGAGCCGCCACGCCCUCCACUGGCAUCCCUCACUCGGGAAGACCCCGGGGGAUGGGCAGAGGCGGAAGCCCCAGCCUCUGGAAGAGGGGAUGUUGAGGUGGGGCGUCCUCUCCCACCCAGACCCCACCGGCCACCCAGACCACAGACGUCUUACUCUCUUAAGGGAGAAACUAAGGCCCAGAGAGGGUAGGACUCCCCCACCAACCCAGCUGGUGUGGCUGCUCUGAGAGCUGGCCUGUUCUCCCUUAAUGCUUGACUCUUUCUACACCCACUGCCCAGUUUCCACCUGGUGUCCACCCCAGGCUGGACACCUGGCCCGAGGCCCCCAAGGGCUGACUACAGUACAAUCCUCAGGAAUCGAGAGGACUGCCUGCCUGCCCCCGACCCCCUCCUCAUCCGGGGCCCAGCAGCCAGGGUCCCCCAUCCCAGCCCCACCCACCUACUAAUGCUGCCUGAGGAGUCUCCACUCCAGGGGGGCCCCUCACUGCCCAGCGCCUCCCACACAGAUCCUGCCUAUUCCUUCAUCCCUGCCACGCUCAAGCACUGUCUCUGUGCUGGGAGUGGGGUCCAAGGUGGGGAAAUCCUGGUGGUGGGGAGGCAGGUCAUAGCAGGCCGGUGGCCAGCGAGUCUGGAGCUGGACCCUCUACCAGGAGACACCAGCUGCCCACAGCCCCCUGCCCCCGACCUGGACCUAGUGGAUGAGAAAGCAGAGCGAAGGCUGGUGCUGGGCAAGCUCGGCUGCCACCCCCAAGCCGGUCGAGCCAGCUGGAGCCCAGCGCAGAGCCUCAGCGCGAGGGCCGGCCUGUCUGCACGUGAUGGCAACAGACUCAGCAGCCCUGACCCCGAGGCGGAGGAGUGAUUGGGCCAUGCGGCCGCGUCUGGGGCCAGGGGCUGGCUUCACAGAGCAGAACCAACAUUCUGUCGAGGCUCAAGUCCUGGAUGAGAGUGGAGGUCACCCAGCCAGGGUAAAACGCAGCAGAGACGAAAGCAGUGGCUCCAAACAGCUCUGGGUCAUUUUAUCGUGCUCUAUGUCACCACACACUCCGAAUUCAAUGAAGAAAAAGCCGUUUCCCUGAGAAUGUCCCCAGCAAAGCAGUAAAGAUGAUGAAUUUUAUUAAACCCCAACUCCGGGUUCACAUCCUUCUAAUAUUCUGGGCAAGGACACAGGAAGCACACAGUGAGCGCAGCCGCACAGGCUGGUCUCCCAAGGGGAGGCGCUCCAGCGAC